CCCAGGGGAGGGUGGGGCAUCCUGCAGAGAGCUGCCCGCGGGAGCCUGGAGGCGGAGAGAUCCAGUGAGGACGGUGUGUGCGCUUCACACCGAGCAAACACUAGCUUCGGAGGUGGGCGGUGAGAAGCCUGGCGUGGCCGCUGCUCCUUCCUCUCCCCCGCCUCUCCCUGCGGGCCUGGCCCUGUGUGCUGGUCUCUGCCCUGCUCGGGCGGGCGGGUCCAUGGCGGGGUGGGUCCGGGUAGAGCAGCAAAUACUCCUGCCAGGCACGGCUGGGCCAGUGGAGAUAAGGGGCGCAGGCUCUGCCGGCUGGAAUCCGGGCCUUGGCUCCUCUGGGGGGAGUGGGGCACCCGUCUGGGCCCUCAGGCUCAGCUCUCUAGCGGCUGGGCACCGGGGCCCUUCCCCUUGGAAGGUGGCGCACACCUGUGAUCCCAGCACUCUGGGAGGCUGAGGCAGGAGGAUCGCAAGUCCAAGCCAAGCCUGGGCAACUUAGCGACUUAGCGAGACCCAGUCUCAAAAUGAGAAAUAAAAAGGGCCGGGAUUCAGUGCGAAGGCCCUGGUUCCCCCCCCCCCAGCAUCUCCCCGGCGAUUCUGUGCUUUGUCCUUCGCGCUGGGCACACACAGGUAAGUGACCUCGACGAGGUGAAUGACGAGAAGGGACUAAAACCCGAGGUUCUGCCAGUCCAUGGUGGCCUAAACAGGCGCUCAAGUGAGCAUCCGCGCAGGGACCGCGGGCGGGUCCCCUCGCUGGAGCGCUCGAGGGGGCUCAUCCACAGCCUCCACCCCGCGCCCACCGAGCGCUCUGGGAGAGCAGAGAGGAAAGCCAGGCCAGCAUCGCCAGGGCAACGCCCAGCCCUGACAGUAAUGGGAUUCACGAGGGGCCUCCUCAGCCCUGGGUGGCCAGGGGGCCAGGGGUGCGCAUGCACUGAGAUGUGGAGGCCCGGGGGUCCAGCCCGGCCCCCAAAGUCAAACGGCAAGGUUGCCCUAACCCGAACGCCUCCCUGAAAUAGCCAAGCCCCCCAGGAGGUGGAGCGCUGGGGGGUGCAGACAGACGAGCUGCGGUGGGUAGUGGGCGAUGGCAACAUUUUGGGGAAGCAUGCGGGUCCACAGGGGUCUACUGUUACUCCACCUGCUCUGGAAGUCUGAACGUUUCUAAAAGAAAAAGCGGUUAAAAAAAAAAAAAGCUGAAGCCAUGCAUGAUGGAGGCUGAGGCAGGAGGAUCGAAAGUCAAAGCCAAGCCUGAGCAAUUUGGAGACUUGGCAAAAACUUGUCUCCAAAAAAAGGGAGGGCUGUGCCCGGGAUUUAGCUCAGUGGUUUCGCCCCCUGCUUCGAAAGCGCAAGGACCCGAGUUCGAUCCCCCGUACCAAAAAAAAAAAAAAAAGGGAGGGGCAGAGGAUGAAGCGUAGUGGUAGAGCACCAGGCCCUGGGUUCAAUCCCCAGCACUGAGUAAAAAGAAAAAAGUAAAAAUGGAAUGAAGCAAGUAUAGCAGCGACCGGGCUUAUGAACGCCCUGUCCCAUGACCAGCAAAGGCGUCAGAAGCAGCCGGGAGAAUCUGUGAAGAGGAGGCCUGUACUGCUCGGGUGUAUGUGUUUGUCCAGGGGAGUCAAACACAGCAUUGAAAACAUAUGCAUCGCACUGUACUUACAUUUUGCUAAGGACAAGAAACUUAGGUAUCUGCUAGCUUGUUCUGAUUGGCACGCUGGAGUGUGUGGAGCAAAGUGAAUUGCUAUUUAUAAGUUGCUUUGAAUUUUUUUUUAAAGAUAGAUGUCUGGGAAGUCUCUACUUUUGUUCAAUUCUACUGUGAGCCUAAAACUACCCUAAAAAUAAAGUUUAUUUUUAAAAGAUGGUGGGGGCUGGGGAUUUAGCUCAGUGGUUCCACCGCUUGUCUCACAAGCACAAGGUUUCGAGUUCCAUCCCGGUAUCAAAAAAAUAAAUAAAUAAAUAAAUAAAAUAAAAAGAUGGCGGGUGGAUGGAUGGAUGGGCAGAUGGACAGAUGGAUAGACAGAUUAAGAAGAAAAUAAAGCAAAAUACCAAUUGAAGACUCCAGGGAGUUACCAUUCAGUGGUUUCCACUUUCCGUUUUUUGUUUUUGUUUUUGUUUUUUGAGACAGGGUCUUGCUAUGUAGUUCAGGCUGGCCUUGAAGUCAUGGUGAUCUUUCUGCCUCAGCCUCCCAAGUCCUGGAAUUACAGGCCACAAUGCCUGGGUCAUUUUCCAUAUGUUUUUAAAAUUUCACAAUAACAUGAUAAAAGAAACAAGUCAAAUCCUUUCGGCUCUGCCUGCUUCUCCAAUGCCCCAUCUGGCUUUGAGUCCCUGACUGAGCCGCGGUCCACAACCCCUUACUCCUUUCCCACCACCAUGCCCCUCUGGUAAGGCUCUGUCACCCCAAGGCUCCCUGCUCCCCACUGUCACAUCCCUGCUGUGAUGGUUUGUGCUUAGAGCACCCCAAAGCCUCAUGCGGAUGAGGUGAGGUUUUCUCUUUUGGAGGUGGUUGAAUCUGGAAUGUGCGACGCUGGGGUUAUGAGCGUGUGAUUACUAAACCACUACAUGUGAGUGAUUGGUUUGGCGCUUCCCUAAUCCCAGUAGUCUGAAUAAGAUAAAAGGAGCAGAAAGAUGCCGUUAAGGUCCCUUGUUACCUUUGCUGCCUUGUACACACCAUGUUGUUUCUACUCUGUGAGGCCUGUUUGCCAUCCCUGCCUUGGAGCUAGCUGACUAUGGACUGAAACCUCUACAAACUGUGAGCCAAAUAAACCCUUCCCCUCUAACUUUGGUAUCGGGUAUUUUGUCUCAGCAAUGAGAGAAAAGCUAACACAGCUGCCCCAGGACCCCAGCCCCUGCAGAGCCCCUCUGGACACUGUCCCUUUGCUCUCUCCUCCGACUGGCACCCGUGGCUCCUCCCUCCCUGGCCCACAGUGCUGGGCCACCCCAGCUGUGCCGCUUCCUGCUGUGUGGCCUUGGUUCAAGUGGGUCGCCUCUCUGUGCUGGUGAUUCUGUGGGAAUCGAGCCUCUUGGGGCUGAUGUUGCUGGGGAAGCUGUGGAUGGUGCAGUCACGUGGGGAAAACAUCCAGCGUUUCUUGAAAAGUGAAUCAUCAUAGACUCUCUGCAGCUUCACCUAGUCCUGUGCCUAGAAUCUGCCCAAGAGUGAUGGACACAUGUGUGAUGGAUCGAAAUGUACGGAUCUCAGACUUCUCCCAUCAGUUCAGCGACUUGUGAAUCCAUGGAGUUGCGCAGCAAUUCCCAGGGUCCGUCUGGAGCAUUUCCAUCCCUCCCAGGGGCCAGCCUGGGGUACACAGUGAGGCCCUGUCUCGAAACACCAACACAAACAAAUAAAACCCAAAACCAAAAACGACUGGAGCUCGUGGUAAGUAUUUU
Molecule: long non-coding RNA, 3366 nt
Filed under: Heterocephalus glaber (naked mole-rat)
Lineage: Eukaryota; Metazoa; Chordata; Mammalia; Rodentia; Bathyergidae
Description: lncRNA (ENSHGLG00000045112.1)
Source: RNAcentral